GACGAACCGUGCGAACGUUAUUCGGAAUCACUGGGCUUAAAGCGCGUGUAGGCGGGCGGGCGCGUCGGCCGCUGAAAUCCCCCGGCUCAACCGGGGAAGGGGCGCCGAGACGGCCGGCCUGGAGGGACGUAGGGGGGGCUGGAACUUCCGGUGGAGCGGUGAAAUGCGUUGAGAUCGGAAGGAACGCCCGUGGCGAAAGCGAGCCCCUGGACGUCUACUGACGCUGAGACGCGAAAGCCAGGGGAGCGAACGGG
RNAcentral lists this ribosomal RNA (254 nucleotides) under uncultured bacterium. RNAcentral describes it as "partial 16S ribosomal RNA". It matches the Rfam family "Bacterial small subunit ribosomal RNA", at positions 524 to 776 of the family's 1533-position model. The record is from RNAcentral.